Molecule: unclassified non-coding RNA, 20 nt
Filed under: Chlamydomonas reinhardtii
Lineage: Eukaryota; Viridiplantae; Chlorophyta; Chlorophyceae; Chlamydomonadales; Chlamydomonadaceae
Description: small RNA Cre_3632
Source: RNAcentral
UGUGUGCAUGCGGCGGAUGA